RNAcentral lists this long non-coding RNA (442 nucleotides) under Ananas comosus (pineapple). RNAcentral describes it as "long non-coding RNA (ACOM_LNC037626)". Lineage: Eukaryota; Viridiplantae; Streptophyta; Magnoliopsida; Poales; Bromeliaceae. The record is from RNAcentral.
GGUGGAUAGAUGUCUUUGUCCUAUCAAGUCAUUUGGAUGGAUUUGAACUCCAAAAAAAUUAAUCUACGGUAUUAAAAAUAUUUAGAAACCGAAUUUCGUAAUUUUUAAAAAUUAUUAUCAAGUCCAUUGAAGUGUCAAAAAAAUGAGCAGUCAAAGUUGAAUAACCUUUUUGAAAAUAGAUAUUAAACUUUCUCAAUUAAUCAUCGGAGUUAUCAAACAUUAUCUAAAUAGCAUAAAGAAUUUUCUAUCAAAAAUUCAAACGGUUUGGAUUGCUCUACACCGUUAAACAAGCAAAUGGCUCAUAUAGACCAUAAAAAACUAUCAAUUUUACGAUCCUUUGAUCACUAUAUAAAUACUUUCUAAAAAUUAUGAAAUUUAGUUUCUAAAAAAUACUCUUUAGAUCAUUUUUAACAGUUUCGAUUAUCAAUUCAGGAUCUCUAUC